RNAcentral lists this ribosomal RNA (525 nucleotides) under Salmonella enterica subsp. enterica serovar Weltevreden. RNAcentral's name for it is "partial 23S ribosomal RNA". It matches the Rfam family "Bacterial large subunit ribosomal RNA", at positions 161 to 609 of the family's 2925-position model. Lineage: Bacteria; Pseudomonadati; Pseudomonadota; Gammaproteobacteria; Enterobacterales; Enterobacteriaceae. The record is from RNAcentral.
AAUCCAUAGGUUAAUGAGGCGAACCGGGGGAACUGAAACAUCUAAGUACCCCGAGGAAAAGAAAUCAACCGAGAUUCCCCCAGUAGCGGCGAGCGAACGGGGAGGAGCCCAGAGCCUGAAUCAGCAUGUGUGUUAGUGGAAGCGUCUGGAAAGGCGCGCGAUACAGGGUGACAGCCCCGUACACAAAAGCGCAUGUGCUGUGAGCUCGAUGAGUAGGGCGGGACACGUGGUAUCCUGUCUGAAUAUGGGGGGACCAUCCUCCAAGGCUAAAUACUCCUGACUGACCGAUAGUGAACCAGUACCGUGAGGGAAAGGCGAAAAGAACCCCGGCGAGGGGAGUGAAAAAGAACCUGAAACCGUGUACGUACAAGCAGUGGGAGCCCCACCACCAAAGCGUUUCGCUUUGUGUGGUGCACAAAGAAGCGUAACGACAGCACUGAAUGACGGUUAACGGAGCGCAAGCGACGUUCAACAUACAAAGUCAAGCAGUGGAGCGCUUUGGGGUGGGGUGACUGCGUACCUUUU